AUGAACCAGAGCGCCGUGGGCUCCCUGGUGCCGCGGCAGGCGCCGGGCAGCUACGGCCUGCCGUUCGUCUCGGCCAUCCGCGACCGCCUCGACUUCUACUACUUCCAGGGAGAGGCCAAGUACUUCGAGUCCCGCGUCGAGAAGCACGGCUCCACCGUCCUCCGCAUCAACGUCCCGCCGGGCCCCUUCAUGGCGCGCGACCCCCGCGUGGUCGCCGUGCUCGACGCCAAGAGCUUCCCCGUGCUCUUCGACGUCGACAAGGUCGAGAAGAAGAACCUCUUCACAGGCACCUACAUGCCCUCGACCUCCCUCACCGGCGGCUUCCGCGUCUGCUCCUACCUCGACCCCUCCGAGCCCACCCACGCCAAGGUCAAGCAGCUGCUCUUCUCCCUCCUCGCCUCGCGCAAGGACGCCGUCAUCCCGGCCUUCCGCUCCCACUUCUCCUCGCUCCUCGCCACCGUCGAGUCGCAGCUCGUUCUCGCCGGCAAGUCCAACUUCAACACGCUCAACGACUUCACCUCCUUCGAGUUCAUCGCCGACGCCUACUUCGGUGUGCUCCCCUCCGCCUCUGACCUCGGCACCACCGGCCCCACCAAGGCCGCCAAGUGGCUCAUAUUCCAGCUCCACCCGCUCGUCACGUUCGGCCUCCCUUUGAUCCUCGAGGAGCCGCUCCUCCACACCGUGCUUCUCCCGCCCAUCUUCGUCAGCGGUGACUACAAGGCGCUCUACAAGUACUUCUACGCCGCCGCGACCAAGGCGCUCGACAUGGCCGAGAGCCUCGGGCUGAACCGGGACGAGGCAUGCCACAACCUGCUGUUCGCCACCGUGUUCAACAGCUACGGCGGCCUCAAGGUGAUGCUCCCGGGGAUCCUCGGGCGCAUCGCUGAGGCCGGAGAGAAGUUCCACCAGAGGCUGGCCGCGGAGGUACGCACCGCCGUUGCGGAAGCCGGCGGCAAGGUGACGAUAGAGGCGCUGGAGAAGAUGGAGCUGACCAAGUCGGCGGUGUGGGAGGCGCUGCGUCUGGAGCCGCCCGUCAAGUUCCAGUACGGCCGCGCCAAGGCCGACAUGAACAUCGAGAGCCACGACGCGGUGUUCGCCGUGAAGAAGGGAGAGAUGCUGUUCGGGUACCAGCCAUGCGCCACCAAGGACCCCCGGGUGUUCGGCUCCACGGCGAGGGAGUUCGUCGGCGACCGGUUUGUCGGGGAGGGAAGCAAGCUGCUGCAGUACGUGUACUGGUCCAACGGGAGGGAGACCGAGAGCCCCAGCGUGGACAACAAGCAGUGCCCCGGCAAGAACCUGGUCGUGCUCGUCGGCAGGCUCCUGGUCGCCGAGAUGUUCCUCCGGUACGACACCUUUACCGCCGACGUCGGCGUCGACCUGCUCGGCCCCAAGGUUGAAUUCACCGGUGUCACCAAGGCCACGUCCGGUCCUGGGGCUGUUUAG
RNAcentral lists this ribosomal RNA (1443 nucleotides) under Triticum aestivum (bread wheat). RNAcentral's name for it is "partial small subunit ribosomal RNA". The record is from RNAcentral. Lineage: Eukaryota; Viridiplantae; Streptophyta; Magnoliopsida; Poales; Poaceae.